AACUAAUGUGGCAGGACACUGCAUCUUCCCUAAGCAUGGACUAUCUUAUAUUUACUUAGUGAUCAUGAAGAACAAUUGUACGAACAUCAUACUUAAAAUCACAGAAAUUAAAUAUGAUUCAAAAGAAGAUAUCCAUUGAAAACAAUAAGUUCAUACAACCCCAAGAAUAUAAAAUAAAAUAUAAAACCCGUGUCCCUUUGUUAGGGCUGCAUCCGGCCCUAGAGAGGAGAUCAGGCUUCCAUGCAGUGGUGGACGGCAGCAGCAGCACAGCACCAGGCUCCCAUUCCUUCCUUCUCUUCCUCCGGCAACUCCCCUACGAACGUGGACUUCAUUAUUUCUUCAUAUGGGAAGUUAUUCUCGAAAUGCCCAAAAUUUUCUCCCUCUUAUUUUUGUGGGAAUUUGGCCACAAAUUCCA
This 415-nucleotide long non-coding RNA is filed under the name Phoenix dactylifera (date palm). RNAcentral's name for it is "long non-coding RNA (PDAC_LNC015953)". The record is from RNAcentral. Lineage: Eukaryota; Viridiplantae; Streptophyta; Magnoliopsida; Arecales; Arecaceae.